Molecule: transfer RNA, 93 nt
Filed under: Myxococcales bacterium
Lineage: Bacteria; Pseudomonadati; Myxococcota; Myxococcia; Myxococcales
Also listed under: 1 other name
Description: tRNA-Ser
Rfam family: tRNA
About the family: Transfer RNA (tRNA) molecules are approximately 80 nucleotides in length. Their secondary structure includes four short double-helical elements and three loops (D, anti-codon, and T loops).
Source: RNAcentral
GGGAGGAUGCUCGAGCGGUAAGGGUCUCGCUUCGAAAGCGGUGGACCGGCUCGCGGGAGCGAGUCGGCGUGGGUUCGAUCCCCACUCCUUCCG